This 478-nucleotide ribosomal RNA is filed under the name uncultured bacterium. Its description in RNAcentral is "partial 16S ribosomal RNA". It matches the Rfam family "Bacterial small subunit ribosomal RNA", at positions 28 to 507 of the family's 1533-position model. The record is from RNAcentral.
GAUGAACGCUAGCGGCAGGCCUAACACAUGCAAGUCGAGGGAGAAGCCCUUUCGGGGGCAGAAACCGGCGCACGGGUGCGUAACGCGUAUGCAACCUACCUUUCACAGGGGGCUAGCCCGAAGAAAUUUGGAUUAAUACCCCAUAAUAUUAUUGGAUGGCAUCAUUUGAUAAUUAAAACUGCGGUGGUGAAAGAUGGGCAUGCGUCCUAUUAGCUAGUUGGAGUGGUAACGGCACCCCAAGGCUACGAUAGGUAGGGGUCCUGAGAGGGAGAUCCCCCACACUGGUACUGAGACAGGGACCAGACUCCUACGGGAGGCAGCAGUGAGGAAUAUUGGUCAAUGGUCGGAAGACUGAACCAGCCAUGCCGCGUGCAGGAAGAAUGCCUUAUGGGUUGUAAACUGCUUUUAUAUGGGAAGAAUAAGGCGUACGUGUACGUUGAUGACGGUACCAUAUGAAUAAGCAUCGGCUAACUCCGUG